This 301-nucleotide ribosomal RNA is filed under the name uncultured bacterium. RNAcentral's name for it is "partial 16S ribosomal RNA". It matches the Rfam family "Bacterial small subunit ribosomal RNA", at positions 509 to 807 of the family's 1533-position model. The record is from RNAcentral.
CAGUAGCCGCGGUAACACGUAGGGUGCAAGCGUUAAUCGGAAUUACUGGGCGUAAAGCGUGCGCAGGCGGUUUGUUAAGACAGAUGUGAAAUCCCCGGGCUCAACCUGGGAACUGCAUUUGUGACUGGCAAGCUAGAGUCUGGCAGAGGGGGGUGGAAUUCCGCGUGUAGCAGUGAAAUGCGUAGAUAUGCGGAGGAACACCGAUGGCGAAGGCAGCCCCCUGGGCCAACACUGACGCUCAUGCACGAAAGCGUGGGGAGCAAACAGGAUUAGAGACCCCCGUAGUCCCUGUCUCUUAUAC